UCCCUGGUGGUCCAGUGGUUAGGACUCUGUACUUUCAUUGUCGGAGGCUCAGGUUCAAUCCCUGAUUGGGGAA
Non-coding RNA from Dama dama (fallow deer), 73 nucleotides. The record is from the annotation of a RefSeq genome assembly. Lineage: Eukaryota; Metazoa; Chordata; Mammalia; Artiodactyla; Cervidae.